RNAcentral lists this ribosomal RNA (459 nucleotides) under uncultured bacterium. Its description in RNAcentral is "partial 16S ribosomal RNA". It matches the Rfam family "Bacterial small subunit ribosomal RNA", at positions 338 to 795 of the family's 1533-position model. The record is from RNAcentral.
CCUACGGGGGGCAGCAGUGAGGAAUAUUGGUCAAUGGCCGCGAGCCUGAACCAGCCAAGUCGCGUGAAGGAUGACGGUCCUAUGGAUUGUAAACCUCUUUUGUCAGGGAGCAAAGGGCGCCACGUGUGGCUCUUUGCGAGUACCUUAAGAAAAAGCAUCGGCUAACUCCGUGCCAGCAGCCGCGGUAAUACGGAGGAUGCGAGCGUUAUCCGGAUUUCUUGGGUUUAAAGGGUGCGAAGGGGGAAUGUAAAGUCAGUGGUAAAAUUUGGGGGCUAAACCCAGUCGUUACGUUGAAACUGGCGUUCUUGAGUGAGGGAGAAGUAGGCGGAAUGCGUGGUGGAGCGGUGAAAUGCAUAGAUAUCACGAAGAACUCCGAUUGCGAAGGCAGCAUACUGGCGCUCAACUGACGCUGAUGCACGAAAGCGUGGGUAUCGAACAGGAUUAGAUACCCGUGUAGUC